UACCAGACUCCUACGGGAGGCAGCAGUGGGGAAUAUUGCACAAUGGGGGAAACCCUGAUGCGGCGACGCCGCGUGAGCGAUGAAGUAUUUCGGUAUGUAAACUUCUAUCAGCAGGGAAGAAAAAGGACGGUACCUGACUAAGAAGCCCCGGCUAACUACGUGCCAGCAGCCGCGGUAAUACGUAGGGGGCGAGCGUUAUCCGGAUUUACUGGGUGUAAAGGGGGCGCAGACGGCCAUGGCAAGCCCGGUGUGAAAGGUGCGGGCACAACCCGCAGACUGCACUGGUAACUGCCUGGCUGGAGUGCCGGAGGGGUAAGCGGAAUUCCUGGUGUAGCGGUGAAAUGCGUAGAUAUCAGGAGGAACACCGGUGGCGAAGGCGGCUUACUGGACGGCAACUGACGUUGAGGCCCGAAAGCGUGGGGAGCGAACAGGAUUAGAUACCCUGGUAA
Molecule: ribosomal RNA, 449 nt
Filed under: uncultured bacterium
Lineage: Bacteria
Description: bacterial SSU rRNA
Rfam family: Bacterial small subunit ribosomal RNA
Source: RNAcentral